RNAcentral lists this ribosomal RNA (486 nucleotides) under Leiophasma cf. nigrotuberculatum Ma036. Its description in RNAcentral is "partial large subunit ribosomal RNA". It matches the Rfam family "Bacterial large subunit ribosomal RNA", at positions 1917 to 2615 of the family's 2925-position model. The record is from RNAcentral. Lineage: Eukaryota; Metazoa; Arthropoda; Insecta; Phasmatodea; Anisacanthidae.
AUAUUAUUUAAUGGCCGCGGUAUUUUGACCGUGCAAAGGUAGCAUAAUCAUUAGUCUAUUAAUUGUAGACUUGUAUGAAUGGUUGGACGUAAUAUUUACUGUCUCAUUUAUUAUUAAUUGAAAUUAAAAUUUAAGUUAAAAUGCUUAAAUUUUUUUAAAGGACGAGAAGACCCUAUAGAUCUUUAUUUUAUUUAUUAUUUAUUAUUUUUGUUUUUAUUUUAUAGAUUUAUUUAUAAUUUUUUGUUGGGGUGACAUGGAGAUAAUUUAUAACUCUUUAUUUUUUUUUUCAUUGAUUUUUGUUUAAUUGACCUUUUAUUAUUGUUAUAAGAUAUAGAUACCUUAGGGAUAACAGCGUAAUUCUUUUUGAGAGUUCAUAUUGACAAAAGAGAUUGCGACCUCGAUGUUGGAUUAAGAUUAUAUUUAGGUGUAGUUGCUUAAUUAUUAGGUCUGUUCGACCUUUAAAUUCUUACAUGAUCUGAGUUCAAA